UACGGGGGGAGCAAGCGUUGUUCGGAUUUACUGGGCGUAAAGGGCGCGUAGGCGGUCAGCACAAGUCAGUUGUGAAAUCUCCGGGCUUAACUCGGAAAGGUCAACUGAUACUGUGCGACUAGAGUGCAGAAGGGGCAACUGGAAUUCUCGGUGUAGCGGUGAAAUGCGUAGAUAUCGAGAGGAACACCUGCGGCGAAGGCGGUUGUCUGGAGCUUUGCUGACGCUGAUGCGCGAAAGCGUGGGGAGCGAUCCGG
Molecule: ribosomal RNA, 254 nt
Filed under: uncultured bacterium
Lineage: Bacteria
Description: partial 16S ribosomal RNA
Rfam family: Bacterial small subunit ribosomal RNA
Source: RNAcentral